GGAAAAAAUGAGAAGCCCAUACUAAUUAGGUUUAAUCGCCUUCUUCUCUACGAUAUUCUAGGCCUCUCUCUCUUUCUCUCUCCUUUUUUUUUUGGCUCUCUGCAACUUAAGAACACCGACUUGAAUACUGUAACGUCUUCAGCCCCAGGAAUGUGAAGAAAGGCGGUGAGCCUUGACAUGCCACUCAUUGAUGAGAAUAUUGCUAAACUGACAAACAUCUAAGCUUCUGAGGCUGCACAGACUGGGGAUAGGUGUUCAUGCGCAGGUUGAUACUGAGUUGCAUCGGUCCCUUGCUGAGAUUGUUGGGAAAACCUACACAUUCCAUAAACUGAACGAUUUCAAUUUUGCUUCGAAGCAUCAAACCUUCACCAUUUCCCGCAUAUUUCCAGAGCGAGAGCUUGCACCUAUGCCAGCCUUUGUCAUACCUCGCUGCAUGAAGUUGUGGCACCAGGAACAGAGGAGAAAGAUGCCAACACUUGCAAUGUGGCAGAGGAGAGCCAUCCACGUCUGAUGCUUCCACUGCCGGACGUCCUGCAUCGGACAAAGAACAAGUUACUGCUGAUAGGAAUGCCCGCAAGAAAGCACGUGUGGAAUGAGUCCACUGCUAGCUCUUAGACAACCACAACUUCUUAUCGACUACUGCUUAUCUUUUAAUUUUCGUCAACUUCUUAUCGACUACUGCUUUUAGUAUCUUUUACUUUUCGUUUAAUUCUAUUUCCCUUUUGUUUUAUAACUUCAUGUUGUGGUUGUCGUUUAAAUUAUUAAUGCAAAUUUUUUUAUGCAGAAAAUUUCCCUAUUUUGUGCCUUCAUAGAAAGAAAUGUCAUGAAGCCGCCAAGGCGGGUGUAAACAUAUUAACACUUGCAAAGGUUAUAAACAGUGG
Brassica napus (rape) is the source of this 881-nucleotide long non-coding RNA. RefSeq lists it as uncharacterized. The transcript has 4 exons. The record is from RefSeq and is a predicted model, not a curated record. Lineage: Eukaryota; Viridiplantae; Streptophyta; Magnoliopsida; Brassicales; Brassicaceae.